AGCCUCGCAGACGCACCAAGAUUCAGAGGGAAGCACGAGGCGACAGGAACGAGAGGGAAGGAGGGAAAGGAGCAAGUCCUGGAAAGAGACAGAAAGAUGGAAGUGUGGAGGCGGGAAAGAGCGAGAGAAGCAAGGACAUAACAACCAUAGAAAAAAUGUGUUUGCUUUAUUGCAGUGGCCCCACCUACCCCUCCAUCCUGUUAAGGAGGCACAGUCCUAAGGAGGAGGGGUAGGAUCCCCUCCCUCAGCCACUGACACACACACUCCCUCCCUGGCUCACACACACACACACUGUGCACUGUGAGGGAGCAGUCGCUGAAGAGCUCUGGAUAGACCAUGCAAGGUUCUGCAGGUGUCCCACCCUUCUCUCCUCACACUGAUGCUUCAGAAGUGUAAAGAUGACGGGAGCAAGAAUGCACAAGAUCACGGGAGGCACGAGGACAUGCGGCAAAGGUCCCAGUGCUUGUUGAGGGUCAAAGGGGACAGGCUGGUGAGUGUUGACCUGAGUGAGAGCCCGCGGUGACCUCUGACCUCUAACUGGGUGUGCUGGCUGACCCUGGAGGAUACAGCCCAACAAUGGGAGGCACGUGCCUUGGCCUUGUCACCAUGGUAACGCAGGACCUUUUUGAAACGGUGCGGUGUGGGGGUCAAAGCUUGGUCUUUAUCCUGAUCUGUGUUAACCAUCUGCUGCCAAUUGACUCUUGUCGAUAUAACGUGUGUGUGUGUGUGUGUGUGUGUGUGUAACUGUGGGCUGACUGGGUAAUCUCUGCAGGCAACUGUGAUGGUGCUUUUUAUUCUCACAAUCACCUGGAGAGAUUCUGCAGUUUGUCUAAUUAUGCAUCAGAAAAAACGCCAUGCACCCAGAAUCUAAUCUCUUGAGUCUAUUUCACAAACCAGACAAGCUAUGAAGUGUUCAUUGAUAUUUUUCUUCCUUCCUGGGACACGUGCUGAGACCAUAUUGUUUACUGAAGGUUGGCUCAAAAACCGUCCGCCUACCUGAAACAGUGAUCAAAGAGGAUUUCACACUCGGGGCUUAAGGUAAUGAUCAUUGCACAAGAGACGAACUGUUUCCCUGUCACAGUUUUGCUUUAUCUUUCUUUGCCCGACUGUUACAAGUCAAAACAGUGAGUGAUUGGUUAAAAGAAGAAGGGGGGAAGAUUAUUGAAUUACAGUCCUGAAUAAGGGCCAACAGGUGCUGUCCACCUGGAAGAAAGCGUGUUUCACACUUUAUACUUAGCCUCUUUGAUGCUGUGCAAGCUGCACACUCAUGACAGAUAACCACCACCACCCUGAUC
This is a long non-coding RNA of Hippoglossus stenolepis (Pacific halibut), 1295 nucleotides long. RefSeq lists it as uncharacterized. The transcript is spliced from 3 exons. NCBI's taxonomy places the organism in Eukaryota, Metazoa, Chordata, Actinopteri, Pleuronectiformes, Pleuronectidae. The record is from RefSeq and is a predicted model, not a curated record.